GAAGUUGGCUGCAUUUUCAGAGAAGUUUUUGGACAUCCUUCUGCCUUUAUUAAGGAUGGACAUAUUUCUUUGUUUGGAAAUUAAGAUGUUCUCUGCUUCUAGGACACCAUGGUGAAAAUCUGUAAUUAAGGACGCUGGUAAUAAUAUAUGGAUUCUGUUGGAGAUAGAGUAUCAUACAAGUAUUGGAUGAAAUAUUUACCUGGCAAACAGACUUGCUGCUACAUUUCAAGUGACCUUGUCUUGGUGUACAGAAUACCAUCCCAUGAGGCAGUGCUGAGACACAGCUAUUAAGAAGAGUGAGCCCUGCAAAGAAGACUUUCCAACUUUACAGUAAGGUAGGACCUGUCAGAUACAACCUCUCAUAGAUGCACAAAGCUAGAUCAUCUUUCCUU
Molecule: long non-coding RNA, 392 nt
Filed under: Zonotrichia albicollis (white-throated sparrow)
Lineage: Eukaryota; Metazoa; Chordata; Aves; Passeriformes; Passerellidae
Description: lncRNA (ENSZALG00000008119.1)
Source: RNAcentral